AUGGGCCCGGUGUGCGGCCAGGUGGCAGCUCUGGGCACUCUGCACCUGCAGAACGGGCUGGACCAGGCGGCCUGCCACUCCAGCCGCUGGCAGGGCUGCCGAGAGCUAGAGCUCCAGGAGCUGUGCGCGGACGCCACUGAGAGCGAGGAGCUGGACGAGCUGUGGGCCAGCCUGCUCGUCUUCAUCACCCUCUUCCUGCUCAGCGUGAGCUACGGCGCCACCAGCACCCUCUUCAAGGUGAAGUGGGUACUCGCCACCGUCCUGCAGGAGAAGCCACAGGCCGCCCGAGACUACGCCAACAUCGUGCGACCGGCACAGCUGCCUGUGCCCACGAUGCCCACAGAGUCCAAAACCAGCCCCAGUGUGUUCCCGCUGAGCCUCAGCCGCCAGGAGUCAGAAGGGUACGUGGUCAUCGGCUGCCUGGUGCAGGGAUUCUUCCCUCCGGAGCCUGUGAACGUGACCUGGAACGCCGGCAAGGACAGCACAUCUGUCAAGAACUUCCCCCCCGUGAAGGCUGCUACCGGGAGCCUAUACACCAUGAGCAGCCAGUUGACCCUGCCAGCCUCCCAGUGCCCUGCUGACUCAUCUGUGAAAUGCCAAGUGCAGCACGCUUCCAGCCCCAGCACGGCCGUGUCUGUGCCCUGCAAAGGUAACUGUCCUUAUCCGUGUCCCUCGUGCAAUGAGCCCCGCCUGUCACUACAGAAGCCAGCCCUCGAGGAUCUGCUUCUAGGCUCCAAUGCCAGCCUCACAUGCACACUGAGUGGCCUGAAAGACCCCAAGGGUGCCACCUUCACCUGGAACCCCUCCAACGGGAAGAAACCCAUCCAGAAGACUCCUGAGCGUGACUCCUGUGGCUGCUACAGUGUGUCCAGUGUCCUACCAGGCUGUUCUGAUCCAUGGAACCGUGGGGACACCUUCUCCUGCACAGCCACCCACCCUGAAUCCAAGAGCCCGAUCACCGUCAGCAUCACCAAACCCAUAGAGAACAUCUUCCCGCCCCAGGUCCACCUGCUGCCGCCGCCGUCGGAAGAGCUGGCCCUCAAUGAGCUGGUGACACUGACGUGCUUGGUGAGGGGCUUCAACCCAAAAGAUGUGCUCGUACGAUGGCUGCGAGGGACCCAGGAGCUACCCCAAGAGAAGUACUUGACCUGGGAGCCCCUGAAGGAGCCCGACCAGACCAACAUGUUUGCCGUGACCAGCAUGCUGAGGGUGACAGCCGAAGACUGGAAGCAGGGGGAGAAGUUCUCCUGCAUGGUGGGCCACGAGGCCCUGCCCCUGUCCUUCACCCAGAAGACCAUCGACCGCCUGGCGGGUAAACCCACCCACGUCAACGUGUCUGUGGUCAUGGCAGAGGUGGACGGCAUCUGCUACUGA
Nyctereutes procyonoides (raccoon dog) is the source of this 1374-nucleotide non-coding RNA. The record is from the annotation of a RefSeq genome assembly. Lineage: Eukaryota; Metazoa; Chordata; Mammalia; Carnivora; Canidae.